Oxyura jamaicensis (ruddy duck) is the source of this 1189-nucleotide long non-coding RNA. RefSeq lists it as uncharacterized. NCBI's taxonomy places the organism in Eukaryota, Metazoa, Chordata, Aves, Anseriformes, Anatidae. The record is from RefSeq and is a predicted model, not a curated record. The transcript has 2 exons.
AUAGCACUGAAAAAGGGGAAAAUUUUGCCCUUAGAAUGUAACCAACUGAAGUUAUUUUAUUAUUUAUGUCUUACGGUAAGACAUGAAAUAGAGAAGAAAAAUAAUUUGAGAUUUCAAGUUUAUUAGCUAUGAAAAUAAUAAUAAUUAUUAUUACAGAGAUUACCUAUAGCACUUCUUACUUUCUUUCAGGACCAGAAAAUGACUUGGAGCUUAGUUCCCACUAUUAGCUUUCUCUGGAAUUUUCUUGAAUCAAAGCCCUCAAUUUAUUGGGCUGCCACAAGAACAAAUAUUCCACACACAACAGUUAGGUGACUUUGCAUAGCAUUUUGUAAUUUAAUUGUAGUCCAUAAAUAUUCAACUGCUAUAAAUUGCUAAAAUUGCAUUUAAUGUACAGAAAUAAAGGCCUGUUUUUCCAAAUCUGCAUUUCCUUUAGCACAAGAAAUCAAGAUCAAACAUGCUCUAGCAUUGCUUCAUCUUUAACAUGCUUUUCUAAUCAGCACUGGCACUUUUUUUUUUUUCAUCAUACCUACCCUCAUCUGGUUCUAUGUUCUUCUCUUCCUUAGGAAAAGCCAAAGACGUCUGUUGCAGUUGUAAAAACUCUUGCUUGAAAAAACAAAUGUGUCUUUUUGUCCAGACUGCCCACUGCUGGCAACAAGCAUUUGGAUCUUGUUCGUAUCCAUCAGAAAGACUGCAAAGAUGUAUUAUCUGGAACAUGAACUAGACUGCAGAAAAUGAUUUAUAGAAUCAUAGAAUCAUCUAGGUUGGAAAAGACCUUCAAGAUCAUCAACUCAUUAUCAUCAAUUUAGUAGCUGUCCAAGUCAAGAACUGAUACCCCGCAAUGUAAAACAAGACUAUGUAAUUGUAUAAUAGAUGUUUCUGCAAUCUAUCAGACUGUAGGACCCUAUGGCUUGAUACCCUGCCUGUGAUAAAGGUCAAAUCAGACACUUCAGAAGCUCUAUGGAAUUAAAUUUGGCUGGAUGCAAGAUAAGCUGCCUCUCUAUUCCUGUUACCUCUUCUGCCUCUACAAAUUAGGCAAGUUUUAUAAUUUAAAUAUUGCUCUUUAUAUCCUAAACAGAAAUUUCUGUUGGUGCCAAAUUAGAAAAACACUGUAUAUUCUUGAUAUCUUGAAUGUUAAAGCUUCUUUUCAAGCUUUCUGAAUUUUAUGUGACAGUAAGCUCCACGAUAUGGU